RNAcentral lists this ribosomal RNA (495 nucleotides) under uncultured bacterium. Its description in RNAcentral is "partial 16S ribosomal RNA". It matches the Rfam family "Bacterial small subunit ribosomal RNA", at positions 30 to 507 of the family's 1533-position model. The record is from RNAcentral.
UGAACGCUGGCGGCGUGCCUAAUACAUGCAAGUCGAGCGAACAGACGAGGAGCUUGCUCCUCUGACGUUAGCGGCGGACGGGUGAGUAGCACGUGGAUAACCUACCUAUAAGACUGGGAUAACUUCGGGAAACCGGAGCUAAUACCGGAUAAUAUAUUGAACCGCAUGGUUCAAUAGUGAAAGACGGUUUUGCUGUCACUUAUAGAUGGAUCCGCGCCGCAUUAGCUAGUUGGUAAGGUAACGGCUUACCAAGGCAACGAUGCGUAGCCGACCUGAGAGGGUGAUCGGCCACACUGGAACUGAGACACGGUCCAGACUCCUACGGGAGGCAGCAGUAGGGAAUCUUCCGCAAUGGGCGAAAGCCUGACGGAGCAACGCCGCGUGAGUGAUGAAGGUCUUCGGAUCGUAAAACUCUGUUAUUAGGGAAGAACAAAUGUGUAAGUAACUAUGCACGUCUUGACGGUACCUAAUCAGAAAGCCACGGCUAACUACGUG